RNAcentral lists this ribosomal RNA (450 nucleotides) under uncultured bacterium. RNAcentral describes it as "bacterial SSU rRNA". It matches the Rfam family "Bacterial small subunit ribosomal RNA", at positions 328 to 795 of the family's 1533-position model. The record is from RNAcentral.
UAACCAGACUCCUACGGGAGGCAGCAGUGGGGGAUAUUGCACAAUGGGGGAAACCCUGAUGCAGCGAUGCCGCGUGAAUGAAGACGGCCUUCGGGUUGUAAAGUUCUGUCGCAGGGGACGAAAAUGACGGUACCCUGCAAGAAAGCUCCGGCUAACUACGUGCCAGCAGCCGCGGUAAUACGUAGGGAGCAAGCGUUGUCCGGAAUUACUGGGCGUAAAGGGAGCGUAGGCGGGAGGAUAAGUUGAAUGUGAAAUCUAUGGGCGCAACCCAUAACCUGCUGUUGAAACUGUUUUUCUUGAGUGAAGCAGAGGCAAGCGGAAUUCCUAGUGUAGCGGUGAAAUGCGUAGAUAUUAGGAGGAACACCAGAGGCGAAGGCGACUCACUGGACUGUAACUGACGCUGAGGCUCGAAAGCGUGGGGAGCAAACAGGAUUAGAUACCCUGGUACCU